UCACUUGUAAUUACAUAUAGCUUUAUCUUAUCAUCUGUUAGAUAAUAUAUCAUCUCAUACUAUGUAUCCAAUAUCUAACACUUAUCAUUUGAUCUAAAAAUUGAUUAUUUGAGUGGUUCAUUUGAAUGUGCCAAUAUGGAAUUAAUCCAAAAUUUAUAAAGUGUUUACGAAUUUGUUAACACUAUAGUCUGAUAUAUAAUUUUAUUGUGAUCUACUUAACUCAGAUUUUCAUUAUCGUGUUUAUGAAUUUGUUAACACUAUAGUCUGAUAUAUUAUGCAAGUAAAAUAAUAUUACCACUUAUACAUAUGAUCAGUAAUAGCAUAAUCACUUAAGCGGGAAAUUUUAGAGUCUGCCGCCAAACAAAAAAAUUGUUUACCACCUAAAUGAAAUGGGGAAAAAAUUUAAGCUCCAAAAAGCAUUGGAUACUUCACCUAAACAGUUUAUUCUUCUCCUACUCUCGGUUCCCUUUUCCUUACGACUAUCUUCUCCGCUUAACACAAUUCGCUUUUUGCUUCUUCUUCUUGCAUUCUUAGCUUCAACUUAUUUUCUUUCUAGCUUUUGUGGGUAACUUGGGGUUUAUCUCGCCGUAGAUCUGGGUUGGGGCUCAUAACCGAUGGUGGCUGGAGCGAGGGUUUGCGGAGUUCCAGACGGCAUCAGAUCUACAGUUAUUCACCUUCCUUCUCAUCUCUCCGUCGCUAGUCACGGGUUCGGUUUUGCAAAAAAGUCGAGAUCUUCACCGAAAAAGAGAUAUAAUAAAGGGUUGUGGUCCUCGUGGAGUUAGCAGGUGGUUAUAUCACCAGUAUUUGCGAAUUGAGCAAUGAUAUCCUCUUCCUCAUGCGGCUGCAGUGCUAAAAGAGAAGUGUAAGAUUGACUUGUGUCUUAUGAGGAUCACUGGCUCAAGUAAAAUGGGAAUCAACUUAUCAAGAUGGAGUUAACUUAUGUAAGAAGAGGGAGAGUCAGCUGAUGCUGAUACAUCAAGCUGUUACUACGACUGGUUGCUGCUGCUGCGAGGAAUUCAUGUGGUCACUACGACCCAUGACAUAUCAGAAUCUAAAGAUCAGAGAUCUCUAAAGAAAACCGUACACAUUUCUUCUAUGAAGGAUGACGGUGGUGAGCAGUAUCUACGUUUGCCAACGGCGGUGGUGGUGGUGGUUACGGCAAAGACAUAUCACAAAAUGUUAUUUAUGUUUUAAGUUUAGUUAAUUUAUUUUAAUUUUAUUGUAUAACAAAAUAUUAUUUCAAACAAAAUUAAUUGUUUCGUUUUUCAUUUAUUUUUAAAAAUUUAUUAUUUAAUUA
Long non-coding RNA from Brassica napus (rape), 1297 nucleotides. RefSeq lists it as uncharacterized. NCBI's taxonomy places the organism in Eukaryota, Viridiplantae, Streptophyta, Magnoliopsida, Brassicales, Brassicaceae. The transcript has 5 exons. The record is from RefSeq and is a predicted model, not a curated record.